Molecule: ribosomal RNA, 849 nt
Filed under: Peniophora gilbertsonii
Lineage: Eukaryota; Fungi; Basidiomycota; Agaricomycetes; Russulales; Peniophoraceae
Description: LSU rRNA
Rfam family: Eukaryotic large subunit ribosomal RNA
Source: RNAcentral
UUAAGCAUAUCAAUAAGCGGAGGAAAAGAAACUAACAAGGAUUCCCCUAGUAACUGCGAGUGAAGCGGGAUGAGCUCAAAUUUAAAAUCUGGCGUCUUCGGCGUCCGAGUUGUAAUUUAGAGAAGCGUUUUCCGCGCCGGACCGUGUACAAGUCUCCUGGAACGGAGCGUCAUAGAGGGUGAGAAUCCCGUCUUUGACACGGACCCCCGGUGCUCUGUGAUACGCUCUCGAAGAGUCGAGUUGUUUGGGAAUGCAGCUCAAAAUGGGUGGUGAACUCCAUCUAAAGCUAAAUAUUGGCGAGAGACCGAUAGCGAACAAGUACCGUGAGGGAAAGAUGAAAAGCACUUUGGAAAGAGAGUGAAACAGUACGUGAAAUUGUUGAAAGGGAAACGCUUGAAGUCAGUCGCGUCCGCCGGAACUCAGCCGCAAGGUGUACUUUCCGGUGGACGGGCCAGCAUCACUUUCGAUCAUCGGAAAAAGGCAGAGGGAAUGUGGCACCUCCGGGUGUGUUAUAGCCCUUUGUCGUAUACGGUGACUGGGAGUGAGGACCGCCUUUUGUAGGAUGCUGGCGUAAUGGCUUUAAACGACCCGUCUUGAAACACGGACCAAGGAGUCUAACAUGCCCGCGAGUGUUCGGGUGGAAAACCCGUGCGCGUAAUGAAAGUGAAAGUUGGGAAGGCUGUCGCGGCCUGCACCGACGCCCGGACUUGAGAUUUAUCGAAGGUUCUGCGGUAGAGCGUGUAUGUUGGGACCCGAAAGAUGGUGAACUAUGCCUGAAUAGGGUGAAGCCAGAGGAAACUCUGGUGGAGGCUCGUAGCGAUUCUGACGUGCAAAUCGAUCGUCAAAUUU